RNAcentral lists this long non-coding RNA (212 nucleotides) under Amborella trichopoda. RNAcentral describes it as "long non-coding RNA (ATRI_LNC003665)". The record is from RNAcentral. Lineage: Eukaryota; Viridiplantae; Streptophyta; Magnoliopsida; Amborellales; Amborellaceae.
UUUGACCAACAAUUAGACCGAUUUAAUAAGGACGAGAUCUCUCGCCAAUUCUAUGGCCGGUCUGAUGUUCUAUGCUGAGAAUAGACAUAAAGGGAUGACUCUCUUAUCUGCUGGCCUUUGAUAAUGGAAAGUAAGGGCAGACUAUAUAUUUUGUCAGGGGAACUCCUAUUGUUUACACAUUACUCGUCUACCGUGACGUGCUUUAUUUUGAC